Long non-coding RNA from Asparagus officinalis (garden asparagus), 282 nucleotides. RefSeq lists it as uncharacterized. The transcript is spliced from 3 exons. The record is from RefSeq and is a predicted model, not a curated record. Lineage: Eukaryota; Viridiplantae; Streptophyta; Magnoliopsida; Asparagales; Asparagaceae.
UGGAUAGAACUUUUCCUUGGUUUGCGAAUGAGUGCAGGAAUGUUAGACUAGGGUGGGAAUUUUUAUUUGGAUACCAGGGAAAGUUCAAGCAUUCUCUUCGGGAGUGGAGACAUGAGAUAAAGAAGAAAUGCUUUGAUUGUUUCACUCACAACUGGGAGAGGAUAUACAAGCGAGAUAAGAGGGUUGAGCCUGAGCACUUAGCUGCACUUAUAAUAUUGUGGGGCCAAGAGGAGCACCAGGAAAAAUGUAGGAGAAAUAAACUUAAUCGAUGGAAAAAAGAUU